CAAGGAGUUAAUUCCAAAUGAUGAAGCAAUCCAGCCCAGAAAGCAGCUAAGAUUGAGCUUAUGUCAACAGGUAGAAUUUACAGUCUCACAAAAAGAAAUGUUUAACAGUCAACUAUUUAGUUGCAAUAAAUUAGACUUUCACUAUGUUGUUCUUAUCACAGAGAUCUAUAGAUGAAAAGCAGUAUAUAGUAGCUAAUUAUUAAUUUUAUUUAUUACCACAGGCAGGAUUUUCUAGUAGCAUUCUGUUCCUUAAUGUGAAACUAGGGAUCAGAACUUUAUGAUGACCUGAAGCUGGUUUCUUAACAGUUUCGAUUUCCUGCUCUUCACAGUCACCAUAAAUCUUGUUCUCCUCCUCAAAGCUUCAGAUGUUUCUAACUUCUUAUCUAUCAGCCUCUAAAGUGCUUCCAGACUCCCACAAACGUUUUAGCUGACUCCAAAGGCUUGUCUGCCACUCUUCUAAGUGUCAGGCCAUAUAUCUGUUUUGGGGGAGUUCCUCAUUGAAAAAGGCAUACUAUGCAAAACACAUAGGCAGGGAGGACCCAGAGGCACCCCAGCCUCACUUAUAUUUCAAGUCUGAACCCAUGCUGUCAUUCAAACUUGCCUAGAAUGCAAACUGCCUGAACAAGCCUUUGCUUAAGCUCACCAAGCUGAAGGUAGCAGCACUACAGCAACUCCUCUGUGAUUGCAGUUGCAAGGGUGAGUGAGGCCAUGGCCCAGGUUCUAUCCUAUAAUGCUUUGUGGAGGCAUUACAUGACUGGUCUCAACACGAAUACAUGAACCUCAGAUCAUGUACCACACCGGGAUUCAUCCAGCACUUUGAGAGCAGACACCAGCAGCCAAGCAUUGGUGAGUCCCCAGCCUUAAUUUGAAACUGGUUCUUAAAGGAGGAAGAGGGUGAGGGCUGAGGGAGGAGAAUGAACAUUGGAGAGAGAGCUUGCAAGGAAGGAAAAGGAGUUUGCGACACCACAUCUCAACACAGCUUAAACAUCAUUUAAAUAAGGAUUAUAAUGAAAAACUGCACUUGCUCUAUCAGCUUUCUUCACAAAUCACAGCCACCAGAACAGGACAGUAGAACAGACACUUGCCUAUUCAAUCUGAUGUUGACUUGCAGUUGUAUCCCUCGGAAGCAUUCUCAAGCAGCAAAACCAAGGCUUUAUCACAGCCCCACUACAACCCCACAGAAAUUGUACUACUUUUGGGGAAAGCAUAGGGCAAAGAGAGAAAGGAAUUUACAAUCCUUACACAGCUAUUAGAACUGCUUCUGUAAAAAGAAAUGCCAAGAGCAGCACAGCUCAGCAAAGCCAUUCUUUUAGCCACAAAUAAUCUUUAAACAAAAACAUGGAUGUAAUAAAGGAUAUUUGGGACUGAAAAAUAAGAAGCAUAACAGGACCACAGAAUAAGAAAUUCCGUAUGACACACUGGAUUCUCACAUGAAAAACAGUCUAAGAUGUCUUUCAUUAUUUUGGUCUGUGUAUCUUAAAGAACACAAAGUGAAUACACAAAAGGCUUCUCUCCUUAGAAGAGCAUUAUCCUUUCAUGUGUGGCAGUAUGUUUGAUUGAAGACCAGCAACAUAAGGGAUAAGGUGGCCUGUCUGUACUGGAUGAGAUGUGAAAUGACAAGGGACUCGAUAUGUUUUGUGAAGGUGCCUUUACGUUCAAUUAUACUAGUUUUUAAGCUGUUUGCAUGUGAAUAUAUUUACACAUUCAGUAUUUUGGUCAUGUAGCUUUGGUCACACAUGGUGGGGUUUAUAGUACUUUAUACAUUCCUCUAUAAAUAGGUGCUGAGAAUAUCCUGCCCCAUCUCAGCAUCUGACUCCUAGAUGUAACAUUCACAGAUGGAACUCCCUUGAGUCAAGCAAAACUGAAUGUUUACAGAUGUGCUUGCCAGAUCUAUUGUGCUAGAAAAUCUUGCCAAAUCAUGACUCUUUUACUAAAAUGAGGAAGAGUUCAUAAAAUGGGAAUCCAUGUUUGAUGGGAAACACGUUGCUGAAGAAUACCAUCACAUUGUGAAACAGGAAAAAAAAAAGUAAAGAACAGUUCUACUAUGUCAGUAGAGGCCACUUUUCUCUUAUUUUGUAGAGGCAAGCUAAUCAGCCGCAACCAUGAUUAUUUAGCUUUCCCCAUAACUAGGCUACUGUGGACCAGCAGGACACUUCACAAGGUGAGAAAAACAACUUACCAGCUACUGGAUGCUCUUGCUUUCCAUUUUAAGUCCUUGCUCAAUUCUACCUCAGUGCACUGCCUGAAGCUUCCAGGGCUCCCUUCUCUUUUUCCCCUCUGCUCGGUUAGCAACCUCCCGCAAUGGGAGGCUGCUGAGAAUCACAGCAAUCAAACACCAUUCUCUGGAUUCCUUCUCUCCCCAAACACCACAAUGUGGCUCUCUUUGCUGUUAAUGAAAUUGGUUGCAACAACAGUUAUAAGAUUAUCCUUCUGAUUGUUUUUCCAGACAGAUGCUAAAUUGCCUUGUUAUAUUUGGACAUAUGUUGCUGCUUCUUUUCCUAAUGGACAUUUCUCAAGAGCAAGACCUGCCUAGGGUCAGCAAAGGGCAGGCAGUUUUGGAUCGGCUCCUCAGGACCCCUCAAACUGAGGAGGAUUCUCACUGUAUGCUGCUCACUCCUUCCCCCUCUCAGCUCUUCUGUGCCUCAACAUUUUUGUCCACUUUGCCAAGUCCCUCAAACAUCUGCUUCCUCCACCCCUGCUCUAGUGUUCAAGAAUGUCUCUGGCAAGAGCUUGCGGCCAGAAUGGCUUUCCUCACCUAAAACCUAUUCUCCUCUCUUGGUCUUCUCCCAACAGAACACCUCCCCCAGCAGAAAUAAGUUUAGUGACUGCAAACCUUAGUGACCACAACUCAGAUCCUCAUCCGUCUCUACUGCCCUUUUCACUGCACAAGACUGUAUCAGUGUCUCAGAAGAGGCUUGAUAGUGCACGACUCAAUCUUCCUCUUAUCUGUUCAUCACUUCGCUUUCAGUGACCAUUCCCCAGGUCUCUUCCAUUUAGUGUCCGUAGAAGACAAGUUUUCCUCCAGCCACCCCAUGACCUCCUCCUAUUCCUUCUCCUGAGAUUUCCCCACACGUCCAUACACAUUCCCCCCCCCCCUUCCAAACUCUUUUCUAAAGAAAAUAGAGAAAUCUUUGUCCUAAAAACAAAACAGAAAAUCCAAUAGCACACCACCCAACCAAACAAUGCCCACAAAACAAAAUGGAGAAGAACCAACUUAUAAAAAUACCAAAAACUCCAUACAGAAACACAACAGUUAAUUUCUCCUUUCAUCUCUAAGCUCAUUCUGUGGUAUUAACACCACAAUGUAGUUUCUUGACACCACUUCCACCUAAGAUCCUCUCCAGUCUUGCAUUCCUCCUCACAUUCAAUGAAGAUGCUGUCAUUAGCACUUCAAAUGAUUGUUUCCUAAACAUAUCUCACAGUCACUUACUCCAUUUUCAUUCAUUGUAUGUAUUAUUCUUAAGCACUUCACCACAUAUGCUCAAAUACUUACUAUCUCAUACUCUCAUAAAUACUGCCUCAAUUCAAUUGCCUUAUUUCUUUAACUGACCCUUUAGACAGACACUCAGAUUCUUUGCUCUAGUUUUCUGUGGGACAUCUCUGUACCAUAACUAGAUAACAGUUUCUGUAACUUAUUUACCUAAAAUAGCUUUCCCCUUGCGGUAAGAUGAAGUAAGUUACAAAGCCCCCUCUUCUAGUUUUGGCUCAGAGGCUUCUCCCUGUUUAUGUCUCAAGUUGCUCCUCCUUCUUCGUUUCAGUUUAUCUUCUUUUCAGUUUUUCUGAUGGAAUGAACACAUUACUCUCUUGGUUUCUAAGAGACUUAGAAAUGUCAGGAUUAAAACAGCCAUGAGAAACCAGACCAACAUUUUUUGCCUCACUCCUUGCCCCUUACUCACAGGGAAACUCAAAUGAGAGGCAGGAAGGGGUAAAUAGUCUCUGAGACCAAGGCAGCUGGUCUCAUCAGACAACCGCACCCAGCUGUUUUAUAUAUGGAACAGGAAAUUAGAAGCUGGAGUUGAAGGAUAGCUCUCCAUUCAGAAGCUUGAUGCAAAAAGACUGUUGUAUUAAAGGCUGUACCUUGUUUUUACUACAUAAAGAUUUGAACAAGUAGGAAGUAAUACUUCUGUUGCAGGGAAGAAAGUAGAAAAGUGAUUUUAUUUAUUUCCUGUGGCUUGCGUCUUUUUUCACUUCGCUAUGAUACUAUUACUUUGAAUAUGUUAUACCAGAGUAUCAAAAAUCUCAAGUGAUUCUGUUGGAUUUACCUUUCUAAUUCUUUUGCUCAGUGCUUAUCAGUUUUCCUUCAAGAAGUCAACUAUUAUAAAGCACAAGUUGCAUAAAUAGACAUCUCCUAUAAGCUUGCACAGGACUUGAGUCUUGACUCAAUGCCAACUUAAAUAAUUCUUCCAGCCUAAACUUCACCCACAGGAUUGCGUUGCUUGCCUUGCCUCCAAAAACACUUGCAUUGAAUACUGGAGGCCUAUCACUUAACUGGUAUGGACUAUCAAAAGAUCAUUGGAACAAGUGGCGAUUUCCCUCUAAGCCUGUGAAGCGUUUGGGGAAAAUAUUAUAACUAGAUUCAACUUCUCAACAGUUAUCUCAGAAGCAGUAGUGAGAAAAACAUAUUUCUCCCCCCCCCCCCCCCCCCCCCCCCCUUCCACCUCUGUGCAUGAUGUAUCCAUCUCCCCAUUAUAGGAUUAACUUCUUUCUUUUAAUACCUAAGCAAGUUUACUGGUUUACAGCAAGAAGCCCUGCUCACAAAAGGACAGGAAUACCAAGUCACUGGCUGCAAAGACAAAAGGUAGCUGAUAUAGUUGCCUUUAAGCAAUUUUGAAUCACCCAAGAAAGACAGCAAUCACAAUGGAUAAUAAAGAAGGAAUAACUUACCUUUUCUGAGGCUCAGGGCUCCCUGGAAACUCUCAAAAGCAGGUGAUCUCUAAGGCUGCCAACCCUUAAAUGAGCUUAGGGAGGGUUGGACCCAGGGUUGCACAGAUGAAUUGCUUGCACCUGUGUUCCCAGAGCUGGCAACGCCCCUUCACCAGGUGCUCAAUCACUGGUUCAGGCUGUGACCUAACGGCUCCCAUACACCUGCCUCUCUACAGUGUGGGUUAGGCAUGGUUUGUACUGCAAGCAAUACGCAACUCAGAAUUGCCAAUCCUGGCAUAAUUUUCAGCAGAACUGCUGUAAAAUGAAGCAACCUCAUUUUUAAACCUCAUUAUGUUCUACAACUUCAUUCUUAUUUUUCCGUUCAUUAACAAAGAGACCGUGCCACGUUUUAUAUGAAUCGAUAAUGACUAAUGGAAUCAUACUUUACACACUUGAAAUCAGAACUAAGUCAAAAAUGGAUAUGGAACUUAGUACAAUGUAUUUAAAAAUUUACCAUUACCACACUAAAAAAAUUACAGCAAUAUAAUAAAAAAGGAACAUAAUGACUGCAGAUCUAUUUCAUGGAUUCAUGGUUUCCCUUUUUAUCAUCAAAUAUAAGAAUAUAACUUUAAAAAUGUAUUUGAAAAGUUUAAUUUCUAACAUUUAUUUACUGAACUCUUGGAAAAUGCGUCUACUGCAUAAUUAGAUUUGAUUACAAGAGCAUUUGGCAUGUAUGAGAGAUGGACAUCCAUACCUUUACUUCGCUCUCAUGAUCACUGCCUGUUCAAUGGGUAUAAAUUGCUAUAUUUUUUCUUUGAAUUUUGCCAUAAAUUUUGCCCAAAGUUCAGAAUGGUGCAAUUUUUUACAUUGUUCUUUAUGCAUCUCUUUUUUUUUUUUUUUUUUUUUUUUUUUGGUAGUGGAUGUAAUCAGAACAUAUUUCAUUCCAUGGCACUCACGGUAAGGAGUUUCCUUCAUCUGCACAUGCCAUCUAUAGUGACGAUGCUCCUUUCCAGGUUGGAAACAGCUAGUACAAGCAACAAAACAAGUGGCUCAGUGUGAUGUAGCUGUCUAGAGAAGUGCCUUGUUGCACAUACCUCAGAGCAGUUUCACACCAGCUCAAUUUUGAGGGAGCUCCAUAUUCUCCAGGAAGACUUUGGCACGCAGUAGAUUCCCAGACUUCAUCUCUUCGUCUCAAAAUAAAAGCAUUGUGCUAGGAAUGGAAAUAUUUAGUUAUUUUCCUGUCAGUGCUGUAUAUUGUCAUUUUGUCUAUUUUUGACUAUGGUAUUUUUUUUUCUUUUCCCUGCAUCACCCUAAUGCCAAUGAAACUCAUUAUUUCCAAGUGUUUAGAGUCCCCAGAACAUGAACAGAGUAUGUCAGCUGCAAAUGAGGAUUUCUUCAUGUAGACAGGACUGCCUCUGUACCACUUAUAUGGACCAGGGCUGACUAAUUCAGGAAAAAUGUUUGCGCACAGAAGUAAUAUGCUUUAAUGGAAAUUCACACACAACAAGUUAUUUCCGUGGAAUAUUCCAUUGCUGAAGAAGCAGAUGACAGAACAGCAUCAUCAUGUUUGAAGCUGGAGCCUUGUGUAAGUGGAAAAUACACGCUUCAGCAGCUACCUCUUUCUAGAAGCUGAACUGGGCUAGUUCAGUCUGAUAGACAAUUUAGAAUUUGAACAGGUUUGCUAAUGAAAGUAAGGGCUUUCAAAAACACAUCACUGCCAUAGAUAGGGCCACAGUCCCCUAAGGUCUGGCUUUCUUGGCCUGAAAAGCUGUUUUCACAUUAGGGUUUAUGCCACAUAACCAGGGUACUGCUGUUCUACAGAGGUACUGAUUAAUUUGAACCCUGAGAAACGAGAGGCAGGGAGUGGGGCAGCAAACCCUUAACUCCAACAUUUCUGGGUUAUCUGAGGAUUCAGCUUCCAACCCAGUCCAGCCCAGUUGAACCCUACCUUGCAGCAGACUGGUGGGAUGUCGGGUGCCACUUGUGAACCUCUGCAAAGUUCAUAGCCCCUUUACCCUCUAAGGUGGCUCGGAGGGUAAGGGAGGCUGGCCAGCUGCAUUCCAACAGAAAUGAAAGGCUGGAUUUUACCUGUGGGAUUCAGAAAAGAUAUGCACAUUCUAAAUUUUGGAAAAAAAAGCUUCUUCAAAACAACACACAAACAACACUCCAUUUACUUGAAACAUGGAGCUAGCAGAUGAGAACAAAGAAUAAAAUAUGAUUAUAAAAAGCCCAGAAUAGUUGCAAUGAAUACAAACUGAAUAAAGUGGGAAAACAAACUCGUUUGAAGUCUGCUUGACACUGAAAGGGCUUCUACAUGAAUGAACUGCAAUUGCUUCAGGAACAUGGGUGCUGUUGAGAUCUUUGCUACCUUUAAAUAAAAUAUAUGAAAUUACUGAGAUUAAAAAAUUAAGUGUAAGGUGCCUUAAUAAAAUUCCCCAUUGCACACAGUCUGUUAUUAUGAAGCCUCUACUAAGUCUGCUACCCUGCCUUAGUCAUGCAGAGGCUAAACUAAAUACCACAAGCCUCCCCACAGUCCUUCCUCUGGGGGGCCAUGAAGUUGCCUGCGCUCCACAGCACCUCCACCUAGACCACAUGCUCCUCAGCACAUACACCUUGUACUGGAGUUUAGAAGAUAUCUACAAAGCUUAUUCCACAUUCCCUACAUCAAAGGAAUCCUUUUACUGCAAAACUGAGACUUUUAUGACUCUCUUCUGCUACAUUAAAGGGCCUGAAUUGAGGAUCUUUACCAUUUGUGUGAAAGACUUCCUUCUCUGCUUACUUCAGGUUAAACAAACAACUUAUUUUUAUAUGGCCCUCA
This 7681-nucleotide long non-coding RNA is filed under the name Gallus gallus (chicken). RNAcentral describes it as "lncRNA (ENSGALG00010026549.1)". The record is from RNAcentral. Lineage: Eukaryota; Metazoa; Chordata; Aves; Galliformes; Phasianidae.